AAGGCUUUUGGGUUUGACUGUGUACUUUAGCUUUGUACGUAAGUUCAUUCGUGAUCGUUGAGGUUAAAAACCUAUGUACAUAUAAACCUAAAGUACUUGUACAAAGCCUCUGAGGAAAAAACUUAUAGAGUAUACUUAAAUUAUCUAUUAUAAUUCUUGUUAGUCUAAAUUCCAAAAAACUAUAAAAGGUAUUGAAGAUUUUGGUUCACUUUAUAGUUUAUACUAGGAACUUU
Molecule: unclassified non-coding RNA, 233 nt
Filed under: Hevea brasiliensis (rubber tree)
Lineage: Eukaryota; Viridiplantae; Streptophyta; Magnoliopsida; Malpighiales; Euphorbiaceae
Source: RNAcentral